Molecule: ribosomal RNA, 498 nt
Filed under: uncultured bacterium
Lineage: Bacteria
Description: bacterial SSU rRNA
Rfam family: Bacterial small subunit ribosomal RNA
Source: RNAcentral
AUUGAACGCUGGCGGAAUGCUUUACACAUGCAAGUCGAACGGCAGCACGGGGGCAACCCUGGUGGCGAGUGGCGAACGGGUGAGUAACACAUCGGAACGUGCCCAGUCGUGGGGGAUAACGUAGCGAAAGCUACGCUAAUACCGCAUACGAACUCUGGUUGAAAGCGGGGGACUCGCAAGGGCCUCGCGCGAUUGGAGCGGCCGAUGGCAGAUUAGGUAGUUGGUGGGGUAAAGGCCUACCAAGCCGACGAUCUGUAGCUGGUCUGAGAGGACGACCAGCCACACUGGGACUGAGACACGGCCCAGACUCCUACGGGAGGCAGCAGUGGGGAAUUUUGGACAAUGGGCGCAAGCCUGAUCCAGCCAUUCCGCGUGCAGGAUGAAGGCCCUCGGGUUGUAAACUGCUUUGUACGACGAAAAGCCUCUUCUAUACAGGGGGCUCAUGACGGUACCGUAAGAAUAAGCACCGGCUAACUACGUGCCAGCAGCCGCUGUAAC